Molecule: ribosomal RNA, 252 nt
Filed under: uncultured bacterium
Lineage: Bacteria
Description: partial 16S ribosomal RNA
Rfam family: Bacterial small subunit ribosomal RNA
Source: RNAcentral
UACGUAGGGGGCGAGCGUUGUCCGAAGUUACUGGGCGUAAAGCGCGCGUAGGCGGGUUGGCAAGUCUGCUGUGAAAGCCCGGGGCUUAACUCCGGAGGGUCGGUGGAUACUGCCAGUCUUGAAGGUGCUAGGGAGACUGGAAUUCCUGGUGUAGCGGUGAAAUGCGCAGAUAUCAGGAGGAACACCGAUGGCGAAGGCAGGUCUCUGGGCAUGUCCUGACGCUGAGGAGCGAAAGUGUGGGGAGCGAACAGG